RNAcentral lists this ribosomal RNA (468 nucleotides) under uncultured bacterium. RNAcentral's name for it is "partial 16S ribosomal RNA". It matches the Rfam family "Bacterial small subunit ribosomal RNA", at positions 28 to 507 of the family's 1533-position model. The record is from RNAcentral.
GACGAACGCUGGCGGCGCGCUUAACACAUGCAAGUCGAACGGAAAGGCCCUGCUUUUGUGGGGUGCUCGAGUGGCGAACGGGUGAGUAACACGUGAGUAACCUGCCCUUGACUUUGGGAUAACUUCAGGAAACUGGGGCUAAUACCGGAUAGGAGCUCCUGCUGCAUGGUGGGGGUUGGAAAGUUUCGGCGGUUGGGGAUGGACUCGCGGCUUAUCAGCUUGUUGGUGGGGUAGUGGCUUACCAAGGCUUUGACGGGUAGCCGGCCUGAGAGGGUGACCGGCCACAUUGGGACUGAGAUACGGCCCAGACUCCUACGGGAGGCAGCAGUGGGGAAUAUUGCACAAUGGGCGGAAGCCUGAUGCAGCAACGCCACGUGCGGGAUGACGGCCUUCGGGUUGUAAACCGCUUUCGCCUGUGACGAAGCGUGAGUGACGGUAAUGGGUAAAGAAGCACCGGCUAACUACGUG